RNAcentral lists this ribosomal RNA (417 nucleotides) under uncultured bacterium. RNAcentral's name for it is "bacterial SSU rRNA". It matches the Rfam family "Bacterial small subunit ribosomal RNA", at positions 508 to 927 of the family's 1533-position model. The record is from RNAcentral.
UCAGCAGCCGCGGUAAUACGUAGGAUCCGAGCGUUGUCCGGAAUUACUGGGUGUAAAGGGAGCGCAGGCGGGUUUGUAAGUCGACGGUGAAAUCUUCCAGCUCAACUGGAAAACUGCCGCCGAUACUGCAGAUCUUGAAUAUGUCAGAGGGAAACGGAAUUCAUGGUGUAGCGGUGAAAUGCGUAGAUAUCAUGAAGAACACCAGUCGCGAAGGCGGUUUCCUGGGACAUUAUUGACGCUCAUGCUCGAAAGUGUGGGGAGCAAACAGGAUUAGAUACCCUGGUAGUCCACACCUUAAACGAUGAAUACUAGGUGUCGGGGCGAAAGUCUCGGUGCCAAAGCUAACGCAUUAAGUAUUCCACCUGGGGAGUACGAUCGCAAGGUUGAAACUCAAAGGAAUUGACGGGGGCCCGCACA